Molecule: long non-coding RNA, 2157 nt
Filed under: Cicer arietinum (chickpea)
Lineage: Eukaryota; Viridiplantae; Streptophyta; Magnoliopsida; Fabales; Fabaceae
Description: long non-coding RNA (CARI_LNC001649)
Source: RNAcentral
UUUUCUGUGGCCCAGAUUCACUUCUCAGAAUCCAGUCAUAUUGGCACCCCCAAUAAAUGUUUAAUUGACAAACAUGUUUAUCUCUUCAAUUCAAUGCCAUUGCUGAGGUAUGCUAAUUUUACAAACAAUAGUAAUAUGGAUGUUUAUUCUGGUGAAGUGUCUGCAAAAUUAGUGCUAUAUAUGAGAGUUCAUAGAGAUUUUUGGAUUACCAGAAAAUAUAGAAAUUCAUAUGCCUCUAAUCGUUACUCAUGAAUAUUUGAUUGUGUUAUUAUCAUUAAGUUUGAGUUUAGAAUUAGAAGGAGGAGCUGUUUCUUAAUUCAAUUGAGAAACAGUUAAAGGAGAAUUCUCUUGAACUUUCUUCUCUCAAAAUGUAAGUAUUCAAUUGUCAAUCACGCUUCUAUCCAACAUUUCUAAGGGCCCAAUUUGUGUUGUUUAUAUCGUCUAAGAUAAGUAUUUGCUCCCUAACUUAUAAAUUUUUUAUAAGCUCAUAGGUGCUUAUGAAGAAGUUAGAUCAAUAUGAUUCAAAAUUGUACUUGCAGUCGCAAUUGUGGUUACGCUGCUGUGAACCUUGAUAUUGCGAGCGGUUGCGGUACUAUUGUGGAAACAAAAACUUUUAUAUUGCAGUUGUGACCAUAAUUUAAAACUAUUAAAAUUAUUAUAUGAAAUAUUCUUUAAAAAAAUUAAGAUUCAGAAUCUAAUUUCAAGUAGGAGCUAUUAUUCAGAAGACACUAACAACUGUAAGAUCAUUUCAACUUGAGUUUUUCUAUAAAUGUUUGUUAAAAAAGUGUACUUAAAUUAAAGAAAGGAUUAAUUUUACAUUCUCAAUUAAAAUGGAUGCAUAACAAUGGAUACAAAAUGUAAGAUAUUACCUUCAGUUGUGUCUUUUAUUACUUUACCUGAGAAAUUCAAUAGCUACUUAUUAUUUGUGUUUUAUUAUUUGGUUAUUUUCUAAUAACAUUUGACCAUGAGGCUCACACUAAACUAGUUUUCUCAUGAACUUCUUUUUACGAAAAUGAAAAUUAUAAACAAAAUAUAUUUUAAGUCUUUUAUGUUUAGCUCAAUUUUUUUUAAGUCCUGUAAAUUUAUUUUUUUUCUAAUUCAGUCUUCUAAGUUACGUUCAGUUUUCAUCAUUAAUUUUUAAGAUAUACUAAAUUAUACAUAUGAUUCUUUAAGUUUGAAAAUUUUCUCGAAUUAUUAUCAUAAAUAUUAAGAUCUAAUUGAAACAUCGAAUUUCUGUAUAUUUUUACCAAAACUAUAAAACUCACCUCAACUCUAUAGUUACUAUACACUACUAGCACAUGAGUGUAAACUCCAAAAGAGGAUUCCCAGGGUCCUAAAAUUACAAUCAAUUUCUAGCAUUUUGAGAACUAGAAAUCAUCACAAGCUAUGUUGAAUUUUCUAGUUUACAUAAAAAAAAAACAUUUCUUGGUUGGUGAUGCAUUUGAUUUGAUUCAUAGCCUUAAUCCUUUAUUCUGGUAGUGGAAUAUCAGCUAAGUCUUGUCUAUAAGGAACAUGGUUUAACUCUAACUGACCAUUAUCAAUAAUUCCCUUUUCCACGUUGCUUUGCAUUACUGUGUCGUUCUUCGUCUCGAUAAAUGUCACAACAGUGUCUUUUCUGAAGGUAAGGUAAAUAACUGAGACAAUAUAAAUUACCAUUAGAGGAAACACUAUAAUCCCAAUGAACACAUUUGCCACCUUUGGUAGACUACUGUGAAUUAGCCACUUCACAAAAGCAGUACUGAGGUAGUACACAUUUAUACCAAUGAUCCCAGCGCCUAGUAUCCAUGAGAUAGUAAUUAUCUGCACAAAAGAUUGUUACAUUUUUUUCAAUCUUUAUUUAAGAAUAUCUAAUUCCAUCUUAAAGUUACAACCAAAAUUAAGUAGCAUACAUAUCGAAAGGGUAAAUGACAACUCACAAUCAUAGAAUUCUUGUGAGGUCCCAUCUUGGUACUGCUGCUGCUAAACUUAAGAAGUGGAAUUAAAGCAAAUGGAAGCUCAAAAGAAAGUAUCAUCUGCAAAACAAUUCUAAUUAGUGUGUUUUUACUUCAACUUAAUGCAGCAUGUGUGCUAUAAAGGAAGGAAGGAAUGACAAAGUAUACAAACUGAUGCGAUGAUGAUAAGCUGACUAGAGCCAGAAGAACCGCCAACGAUGGAAAC